Molecule: ribosomal RNA, 45 nt
Filed under: Solanum arcanum
Lineage: Eukaryota; Viridiplantae; Streptophyta; Magnoliopsida; Solanales; Solanaceae
Source: RNAcentral
GGAUGCGAUCAUACCAGCACUAACGCACCGGAUCCCAUCAGAACU